AGUUUGAUCCUGGCUCAGGAUGAACGCUAGCUACAGGCUUAACACAUGCAAGUCGAGGGGCAGCAUGGUCUUAGCUUGCUAAGGCCGAUGGCGACCGGCGCACGGGUGAGUAACACGUAUCCAACCUGCCGUCUACUCUUGGACAGCCUUCUGAAAGGAAGAUUAAUACAAGAUGGCAUCAUGAGUUCACAUGUUCACAUGAUUAAAGGUAUUCCGGUAGACGAUGGGGAUGCGUUCCAUUAGAUAGUAGGCGGGGUAACGGCCCACCUAGUCUUCGAUAGAUAGGGGUUCUGAGAGGAAGGUCCCCCACAUUGGAACUGAGACACGGUCCAAACUCCUACGGGAGGCAGCAGUGAGGAAUAUUGGUCAAUGGGCGCAGGCCUGAACCAGCCAAGUAGCGUGAAGGAUGACUGCCCUAUGGGUUGUAAACUUCUUUUAUAAAGGAAUAAAGUCGGGUAUGUAUACCCGUUUGCAUGUACUUUAUGAAUAAGGAUCGGCUAACUCCGUGCCAGCAGCCGCGGUAAUACGGAGGAUCCGAGCGUUAUCCGGAUUUAUUGGGUUUAAAGGGAGCGUAGAUGGAUGUUUAAGUCAGUUGUGAAAGUUUGCGGCUCAACCGUAAAAUUGCAGUUGAUACUGGAUAUCUUGAGUGCAGUUGAGGCAGGCGGAAUUCGUGGUGUAGCGGUGAAAUGCUUAGAUAUCACGAAGAACUCCGAUUGCGAAGGCAGCCUGCUAAGCUGCAACUGACAUUGAGGCUCGAAAGUGUGGGUAUCAAACAGGAUUAGAUACCCUGGUAGUCCACACGGUAAACGAUGAAUACUCGCUGUUUGCGAUAUACGGCAAGCGGCCAAGCGAAAGCGUUAAGUAUUCCACCUGGGGAGUACGCCGGCAACGGUGAAACUCAAAGGAAUUGACGGGGGCCCGCACAAGCGGAGGAACAUGUGGUUUAAUUCGAUGAUACGCGAGGAACCUUACCCGGGCUUAAAUUGCAGAUGAAUUACGGUGAAAGCCGUAAGCCGCAAGGCAUCUGUGAAGGUGCUGCAUGGUUGUCGUCAGCUCGUGCCGUGAGGUGUCGGCUUAAGUGCCAUAACGAGCGCAACCCUUGUUGUCAGUUACUAACAGGUUCCGCUGAGGACUCUGACAAGACUGCCAUCGUAAGAUGUGAGGAAGGUGG
Molecule: ribosomal RNA, 1171 nt
Filed under: uncultured Bacteroides sp.
Lineage: Bacteria; Pseudomonadati; Bacteroidota; Bacteroidia; Bacteroidales; Bacteroidaceae
Description: bacterial SSU rRNA
Rfam family: Bacterial small subunit ribosomal RNA
Source: RNAcentral